This 443-nucleotide ribosomal RNA is filed under the name uncultured bacterium. Its description in RNAcentral is "partial 16S ribosomal RNA". It matches the Rfam family "Bacterial small subunit ribosomal RNA", at positions 338 to 795 of the family's 1533-position model. The record is from RNAcentral.
CCUACGGGAGGCAGCAGUGGGGAAUAUUGGACAAUGGGGGGAACCCUGAUCCAGCGACGCCGCGUGAGUGAAGAAGUAUUUCGGUAUGUAAAGCUCUAUCAGCAGGGAAGAAAGAAAUGACGGUACCUGACUAAGAAGCCCCGGCUAACUACGUGCCAGCAGCCGCGGUAAUCCGUAGGGGGCAAGCGUUAUCCGGAUUUACUGGGUGUAAAGGGUGAGUAGACGGCGAUGCAAGUCUGACGUGAAAGGCGGGGGCCCAACCUCCGGACUGCUGUGGAAACUGGAUGGCUGGAGUGCAGGAGAGGUAAGUGGAAUUCCUAGUGUAGCGGUGAAAUGCGUAGAUAUUAGGAGGAACACCAGUGGCGAAGGCGGCUUACUGGACUGUAACUGACGUUGAGGCUCGAAAGCGUGGGGAGCAAACAGGAUUAGAUACCCCAGUAGUC